Molecule: transfer RNA, 72 nt
Organism: Ovis aries (sheep)
Lineage: Eukaryota; Metazoa; Chordata; Mammalia; Artiodactyla; Bovidae
Rfam family: tRNA
About the family: Transfer RNA (tRNA) molecules are approximately 80 nucleotides in length.
Source: Rfam
UCCCAGGUGGUUUAGUGGUAAAGAAUCUGCCUGCCAGUAUAGGAGACUCAGGUUUGAUCCCUGAUUUGGGAA